UUAAAAUUAGUUAAUCGCUAUAACAUAGGCUUGUCAUGCCUAAAUAAUCAUAA
Molecule: transfer RNA, 53 nt
Filed under: Leptalpheus forceps
Lineage: Eukaryota; Metazoa; Arthropoda; Malacostraca; Decapoda; Alpheidae
Description: tRNA-Asp
Source: RNAcentral